This 253-nucleotide ribosomal RNA is filed under the name uncultured bacterium. RNAcentral's name for it is "partial 16S ribosomal RNA". It matches the Rfam family "Bacterial small subunit ribosomal RNA", at positions 524 to 776 of the family's 1533-position model. The record is from RNAcentral.
GACGGAGGAUGCAAGCGUUAUCCGGAAUGAUUGGGCGUAAAGCGUCCGCAGGUGGCAGUUCAAGUCUGCUGUCAAAGACCGGGGCUUAACUUCGGAAAGGCAGUGGAAACUGAACAGCUAGAGUAUGGUAGGGGCAGAGGGAAUUCCUGGUGUAGCGGUGAAAUGCGUAGAUAUCAGGAGGAACACCGGUGGCGAAAGCGCUCAUCUGGCCCAAUACUGACGCUGAGGCGCGAAAGCUAGGGGAGCAAACGGG